Molecule: long non-coding RNA, 580 nt
Organism: Megalopta genalis
Lineage: Eukaryota; Metazoa; Arthropoda; Insecta; Hymenoptera; Halictidae
Source: RefSeq, a predicted model, not a curated record
GCCGCGCGGGUUUAUCAGCGCUGAAUCCAAGUGGAACGAUCGCCGAGUUUUACGGCAUUUAUACGGAGCCGAUUGGCGCCGCGUUCUAUCGGGGCGCCGAUUGAAACUGAAACACUCGAGAGCCGUUCGAUACGGAGGAGGCGUGAGAGUGAACUUCUCGGAAGAGCGUACAAACUUUGACAGAUGGCCUCCUGUAUCUCUCUCGACACCGAUGCUUCCACGAACGAACGACGAUGCGUGUAACACGACCAACGUUACCCUAUCGAGCAUUUUGCUGGAACCAAGCAUUUAUUCGGUCGCCGAUGAAGCGCGGCCGUGUUGUAAAGCCGGUGCAACGAAGCGGAUGGAAAUAAUUUCUACGCGCAUGCAAGACGGUUCUAUUUUUGCUGGGCACUCUAUCUUCGCUCAAAGGCAUCGAGAGCAUAUCGGAGAAGAAUAUCGGCCACAGGCGCCACUCGCAAGAACGUUCAGUUCAUAUCCCACGAUCCGGUAACGCCGCCACGCUGCUCGGAAUCACAAAGAGGACACCUUUUGAUCGGUUUCAUCUCGAUAGGUGUUCUCAACGAAGCUCAAGAAUUUU